GUUCCCAGCUCCAAUAACUCUUAAAGGAAAAGAUGUAUAUCAGAAGCAUCAAUGUGUAGCAUAUCUGUGCUAUAACAGUAAAUGUCUAAAAUAAAUGUCAGAGCACAAGAAUGUCUAAACUAAAUGCAUGCGGUUAUUCACUAAACACACAAAGUAUAGUGAAUCAAGAUGUGAACACAUUCCAGGAUAUAACAGUCUUUGGAGGCAGUAAAGAGGGACAAUUGUAACUUAACAUCUCGAUAAAUCCCUUUUGGAACAGAGAAGAUAUCUAUAGAAAAUAAACUCAGCCCUUUCUAUUUCUCGAGGGCUGCACUGUUCCUGUGGAACUCGCUUCCCUCCUCC
Pelobates cultripes (western spadefoot toad) is the source of this 342-nucleotide non-coding RNA. NCBI's taxonomy places the organism in Eukaryota, Metazoa, Chordata, Amphibia, Anura, Pelobatidae. The record is from the annotation of a GenBank genome assembly.